UAGGGAAUCUUAGACAAUGGGCGAAAGCCUGAUCUAGCCAUGCCGCGUGUGUGACGAAGGCCCUAGGGUCGUAAAGCACUUUCGCCGGGGAUGAUAAUGACAGUACCCGGUAAAGAAGUCCCGGCUAACUCCGUGCCAGCAGCCGCGGUAAUACGGAGGGGACUAGCGUUGUUCGGAAUUACUGGGCGUAAAGCGCGCGUAGGCGGACUAUUAAGUCAGGGGUGAAAUCCCGGGGCUCAACCCCGGAACUGCCUUUGAUACUGGUAGUCUUGAGUUCGAGAGAGGUGAGUGGAAUUCCGAGUGUAGAGGUGAAAUUCGUAGAUAUUCGGAGGAACACCAGUGGCGAAGGCGGCUCACUGGCUCGAUACUGACGCUGAGGUGCGAAAGCGUGGGGAGCAAACAGGAUUAGAUACCCCCGUAGUCC
Molecule: ribosomal RNA, 424 nt
Filed under: uncultured prokaryote
Description: bacterial SSU rRNA
Rfam family: Bacterial small subunit ribosomal RNA
Source: RNAcentral